RNAcentral lists this transfer RNA (66 nucleotides) under Decemunciger sp. AB-2017. RNAcentral's name for it is "tRNA-Lys". Lineage: Eukaryota; Metazoa; Annelida; Polychaeta; Terebellida; Ampharetidae. The record is from RNAcentral.
CUUUAGAGAGCUGUAUUUAAGCACUAGUCUUUUAAACUAAUGAAAGCAAACCUUUGCUUCUAAAGA